CAAGGAAUUUUCGGCAAUGGGCGCAAGCCUGACCGAGCAACGUCGCGUGGAGGAUGACGGCUUUCGGGUUGUAAACUCCUUUUGUGGGGGAUGACAUCGACAGUACCCCGCGAAUAAGCCCCGGCUAACUCCGUGCCAGCAGCCGCGGUAAGACGGAGGGGGCAAGCGUUGUCCGGACUCACUGGGCGUAAAGGGUGCGUAGGCGGUUGUGUGCGUCGGCGCUGAAAUCACAGGGCUUAACUCUGUGGCGCGUGCCGAUACGACACGACUUGAGGCUCUGAGAGGGUGGCGGAACUCCUGGUGUAGUGGUGAAAUGCGUAGAGAUCAGGAAGAACACCCGUGGCGCAAGCGGCCACCUGGCAGAGACCUGACGCUGAGGCACGAAAGCGUGGGGAGCGAACCGG
This 404-nucleotide ribosomal RNA is filed under the name uncultured bacterium. RNAcentral's name for it is "bacterial SSU rRNA". It matches the Rfam family "Bacterial small subunit ribosomal RNA", at positions 355 to 776 of the family's 1533-position model. The record is from RNAcentral.